GUGCCAGCAGCCGCGGUAAUACAGAGGGUGCAAGCGUUAAUCGGAAUUACUGGGCGUAAAGCGCACGUAGGCGGCUAUAUAAGUCGGAUGUGAAAUCCCCGGGCUUAACCUGGGAACCGCAUUCGAGACUGCAUAGCUAGAGUACUGGAGAGGACAGCGGAAUUCCCGGUGUAGCGGUGAAAUGCGUAGAUAUCGGGAGGAACAUCAGUGGCGAAGGCGGCUGUCUGGCCAAGUACUGACGCUCAGGUGCGAAAGCGUGGGGAGCAAACAGGAUUAGAAACCCCCGUAGUCC
Molecule: ribosomal RNA, 292 nt
Filed under: uncultured bacterium
Lineage: Bacteria
Description: partial 16S ribosomal RNA
Rfam family: Bacterial small subunit ribosomal RNA
Source: RNAcentral